AACGAACGCUGGCGGCAGGCUUAACACAUGCAAGUCGAGCGCAUCCUUCGGGGUGAGCGGCAGACGGGUGAGUAACGCGUGGGAAUCUACCUUUUGCUACGGAAUAGCUCCGGGAAACUGGAAUUAAUACCGUAUGUGCCCUUAGGGGGAAAGAUUUAUCGGCAAGAGAUGAGCCCGCGUUGGAUUAGCUAGUUGGUGGGGUAAAGGCCUACCAAGGCGACGAUCCAUAGCUGGUCUGAGAGGAUGAUCAGCCACAUUGGGACUGAGACACGGCCCAAACUCCUACGGGAGGCAGCAGUGGGGAAUAUUGGACAAUGGGCGCAAGCCUGAACCAGCCAUGCCGCGUGAGUGAUGAAGGCCUUAGGGUUGUAAAGCUCUUUCACCGGAGAAGAUAAUGACGGUAUCCGGAGAAGAAGCCCCGGCUAACUUCGUG
RNAcentral lists this ribosomal RNA (433 nucleotides) under uncultured bacterium. Its description in RNAcentral is "partial 16S ribosomal RNA". It matches the Rfam family "Bacterial small subunit ribosomal RNA", at positions 29 to 507 of the family's 1533-position model. The record is from RNAcentral.